RNAcentral lists this ribosomal RNA (434 nucleotides) under uncultured Lachnospiraceae bacterium. RNAcentral describes it as "bacterial SSU rRNA". It matches the Rfam family "Bacterial small subunit ribosomal RNA", at positions 341 to 792 of the family's 1533-position model. Lineage: Bacteria; Bacillati; Bacillota; Clostridia; Lachnospirales; Lachnospiraceae. The record is from RNAcentral.
ACGGGAGGCAGCAGUGGGGAAUAUUGCACAAUGGGGGAAACCCUGAUGCAGCGACGCCGCGUGAGUGAAGAAGUAUUUCGGUAUGUAAAGCUCUAUCAGCAAGGAAGAAAAUGACGGUACUUGACUAAGAAGCCCCGGCUAACUACGUGCCAGCAGCCGCGGUAAUACGUAGGGGGCAAGCGUUAUCCGGAUUUACUGGGUGUAAAGGGAGCGUAGACGGUAAGGCAAGUCUGAAGUGAAAUGCAUGGGCUCAACCCAUGAACUGCUUUGGAAACUGUCUGACUAGAGUGCAGGAGAGGUAAGUGGAAUUCCUAGUGUAGCGGUGAAAUGCGUAGAUAUUAGGAGGAACACCAGUGGCGAAGGCGGCUUACCGGACUGUAACUGACGUUGAGGCUCGAAAGCGUGGGGAGCAAACAGGAUUAGAUACCCUGGUA